Molecule: long non-coding RNA, 240 nt
Filed under: Numida meleagris (helmeted guineafowl)
Lineage: Eukaryota; Metazoa; Chordata; Aves; Galliformes; Numididae
Description: lncRNA (ENSNMEG00000008465.1)
Source: RNAcentral
UCUGAAUGAAGACUCCUCUGGGGAGGGAAGAGGCUCGUGGCUCUCAGAUGUGGCAACCACCUCCUUCAUAUGACUUAAGGAACAUUUCUCAGAAAACCUUGUCUGUAAUGAAGCCACUGGUGUUACUACCUGCAGUAUACCAAGAAAGGGAAGGAGUUUCUGGAACAGUGCUGUGAUGUGACUUCCACUUGGUGAGUUCUGGCCACACUAGUUGUGUGAUUCACUUCCUCUUCUGUUACU